Molecule: long non-coding RNA, 1823 nt
Filed under: Sus scrofa (pig)
Lineage: Eukaryota; Metazoa; Chordata; Mammalia; Artiodactyla; Suidae
Description: lncRNA (ENSSSCG00060054976.1)
Source: RNAcentral
CCACUGCUACUCUUUCCAUAUUAGGAAAAUGAGGCACAGAGAAAAUUAAUUUACCCAAAUCGCAGAGCUAGUAAGUGGGGCCAGGUGCCACUGGGAGACCAAGAGCUCUGCCUCCAUAGGCUUCCAGCUCUGGCACUUUUCCUUUUGUGUGUUCCCACAAGUAUUUCGUGUUUCAAUCAACGACUGUGGUCCAGCGGAACCCGGUACACAUCGUGUGCUCAGGUAACGUUCAUGGAUGAAUAAAUCCAGGACGGAUGACGGGCAAUGAGAUUCUGCCGUAGAGCGCAAGGAACUAUAUCUAGUCACUUUGAUGGAACAUGAUGGGACGUAAUGUGAGAAAAAGUGACUGGGUCACUUUGCUGUACAGCAGAGAUUGACAGAACACUGUAAAUCAACUAUAAUGGGAAAUUUAAAAAAUAAAAAAAAUGAAAUUUCAAAAAAGGAAAAAUUGAUAUAUAAGAUUUUUCUAUAUGAAAAAUAACUAGCUACAGAAUAAUAUAGGGAAAAUGGUCACAUUUAAAUAGCAAUAAAAACAAAUGUUUAAAAGAAAGCAUUCAGAACUUGUAAAUUCUCCUGAGAAGUUAAAAGCUAGAAAAAAAAUGAAGAUGCAGCUGGUGUUUGGCUGGGAAAAUUUUAUGCAGAUGGUACUCAUCAAUAAAUGGAUCAAUACACUGAUUGUGAUACAGCAGUCCUACCAGUCCGGUUAGAAAGUGAUUCUAACGUUAAUCUGGAAAGCUGUAUUUGUAAGAAUAGGUAGUAAAAUUCUGGAUAAGAAGAGAAAUGAUAUAAAUCAGCUCUACCCGAUAAUAAAAUGUAGUAUAAAGCUGUGUUUCUAAAUAAAACAGUACACUACCGACGGCUAUAGAUAAUCAUUGGCAUAGAAUGGAGAUUCCAGAGAGAAAUAGAAAGAUAGAUGUAAUCAGUGACUAAAAGACUACAUUAUUCAAUAAAAGUGCACUUUUCUGGGAGUGGGAGGGGGAGGAGGAUGGGCGAGGCAGAAGGAUUCCUGCCUCACUCAUUUAGCAAAGUAAAUUCCAGAUGGAAUCUAAUGCAACCAUGGAGCACAGAAUCAUAAAAGAACCAAGAAAAGAUACUGAUGGAUGCUUUUCAAACUCUUACAGUGAGGAAAGCUUUCUUAAGCAUGCAACCCUGAAGCCUUAUAGGAAAGCCUAAAAAGUCAGCCUGCAAAACAAGGCACAAUCUCCUCUCUGACAAAAAUCUAGUUGUUUCCAGGCAGCAGAGUUUGCAGUGGUAUUAGCUCUCUUCUUUGUUUCCUGUUUUGUUCCUUAAAAUGGAUGUAUUAGUUUUAUAAAAACAAAAUCACUAUCUUUUAAAAAAAGGGAAAUCAAGCAAUUAAAACACCCAAUCAUUUUGAAAUGUCAAGAAUUAAAAGCAACUAUAGAAAAAAUUAACUCAAAAUGGAUCGUAGACCUAAAUGUAAAACCACAGAAGGAAAUUGGAGAAAACCAUCUUGGCCUUGGGUUAGGCGGAGAGUUCCUGGAAACGACAUCAAAGGCACAGUUCCUGAGGGGAAAUACUUGAUAAUUUGGACUUUAUCAAAAUUAGAAACUUUUGCUCUGUGAAGGAUACUGUUAAGAAAAAAAAAAUACCAGCCACAGAUUGGAAGAAACUCUUUGCAAGUCGUAUACCAGACAAAUGACUUGAACCUAAGAUGUGCAAAUAAUUCUGAAAACUCAACACCAAGAAUACAACCCAACUGUUUAAGUUUUAAAUAGACACUUUGCCAAAUAAGCACUUGAAAAAAUGCUCAAUAUCACUAAUUAUUAGGUAAAUAUAAAUUAAAAAUACCAUGAUAUUCUGGU